AUAUUUUGUGUUUUUAUCUCAUACCAGCUAUAGAAAUUCUGUCAGAUCCUGUGAAGCGAAGAGCAUUUGACAGUGUAGAUCCUACCUUUGACAACGCUGUGCCCUCAAAGGGCGAAGGCAAAGAUAACUUCUUUGAGGCGUAUGCUCCUGUUUUUGAGAGAAAUGCCCGGUGGUCUUCCAAAAAACACGUGCCCAAACUUGGCACUAUGGAUUCCUCUUUUGAGGACGUGGAUAAUUUUUAUUCUGUUUGGUACAACUUUGACUCAUGGAGAGAGUUUUCUUAUUUGGAUGAAGAGGAAAAGGACAAGGCAGAAUGUCGUGAUGAGAGGAGAUGGAUUGAAAA
Molecule: long non-coding RNA, 343 nt
Organism: Salvelinus sp. IW2-2015
Lineage: Eukaryota; Metazoa; Chordata; Actinopteri; Salmoniformes; Salmonidae
Source: RefSeq, a predicted model, not a curated record